AGUCACGAGUUUGAUCCUGGCUCAGGAUGAACGCUGGCGGCAGGCCUAACACAUGCAAGUCGAGCGGUAGAGAGGUGCUUGCAUCUCUUGAGAGCGGCGGACGGGUGAGUAAUGCCUAGGAAUCUGCCUAGUGGUGGGGGAUAACGUAGCGAAAGUUACGCUAAUACCGCAUACGCACUAAGGUGGAAAGCGGGGGAUCUUCGGACCUCGCGCCAUUAGAUGAGCCUAGGUCGGAUUAGCUAGUUGGUGAGGUAAUGGCUCACCAAGGCGACGAUCCGUAACUGGUCUGAGAGGAUGAUCAGCCACACUGGGACUGAGACACGGCCCAGACUCCUACGGGAGGCAGCAGUGGGGGAAUAUUGGACAAUGGGCGAAAGCCUGAUCCAGCAAUGCCGCGUGAGUGAUGAAGGCCUUCGGGUUGUAAAGCUCUUUUACUCGGGACGAUAAUGACGGUACCGAGAGAAUAAGCCCCGGCUAACUCCGUG
RNAcentral lists this ribosomal RNA (485 nucleotides) under uncultured bacterium. RNAcentral's name for it is "bacterial SSU rRNA". It matches the Rfam family "Bacterial small subunit ribosomal RNA", at positions 1 to 507 of the family's 1533-position model. The record is from RNAcentral.